This 1008-nucleotide long non-coding RNA is filed under the name Homo sapiens (human). RNAcentral describes it as "HSALNT0082708". The record is from RNAcentral. Lineage: Eukaryota; Metazoa; Chordata; Mammalia; Primates; Hominidae.
AGCUCCUUUCAGAUAGAGACAAGGGAUAUUUGACUUCUUAUCUCUGUUGUCCAGCACAAUGUCCAGAACACAACAGAUAUUCCAUAUGCACAGUCACAUGCUAUGUAUGUGUAUUUUCUUUCCAGAAAGGACUAGAGGUCCUAAGCUUUGUUAAUAUCAUGAGCCAGUGCCCACAUGAGCAGGAGAAUUUUAGCACAGUCACCUACACACUCAUUUCGAUGCUCUGACCCCUUAUCCAAGCCAGUCAAAGUGUGGUCUAUGGUUUUGCAUUUUAAAGAGAUCCCUGGGUGAAUCUUGUGCAUGUUACAGGGAAGCACUGUCCUACAUCCUAUGUGACAGGCUCUCAUAGUCACCAUCAUCAUGGGAAUCUUGCACAUGUUACAGGGAAGCACUGUCCUACAUCAUAUGUGACAGGCUCUCAUAGUCACCAUCAUCACGGGAAUCUUGCACAUGUUACAGGGAAGCACUGUCCUACAUCGUAUGUGACAGGCUCUCAUAAUCACCAUCAUCAUGUGAUCUUGUGCAUGUUACAGGGAAGCACUGUUCUACAUCGUAUCUGACAGGCUCUCAUAGUCACCAUCAUCACAGGAAUCUUGUGCAUGUUACAGGGAAGGACUGUCCUACAUCGUAGGUGACAGGCUCUCAUAAUCACCAUCAUCACGGGAAUCUUGUGCAUGUUGCAGGGAAGCACUGUCCUACAUCGUAUGCGACAGGGUCUCAGAGUCACCAUCAUCGUGGGAAUCUUGUGCAUGUUACAGGGAAGCACUGUCCUACAUCAUAUGUGACAGGCUCUCAUAGUCACCAUCAUCACGGGAAGCUGCAUUUAGAGCAUUUAACUGUAUGGGCUCUGAAAUCAGAUGACUUAGGUUUGGGCUUGCCUCUACUUCUUACUAAGCAGAGAACUUUGGGGCAUGAUACUUAAUUUUACUAGGCUCAGUUUUAUCAUGUGUAAAUUGGAGGCAAGGGGAAAUUAUAGCAUUUUGCAUAGAAUAUUGUUUUAAGUAUGAA